CACGAACUGCGCAAACGUUAUUCGGAAUCACUGGGCUUAAAGAGUUCGUAGGCGGCGCGUUAAGUCGGGUGUGAAAUCCCUCGGCUCAACCGAGGAAUUGCGCCCGAAACUGGCGUGCUUGAGUAAGAUAGAGGUGAGCGGAACUGAUGGUGGAGCGGUGAAAUGCGUUGAUAUCAUCAGGAACACCGGUGGCGAAAGCGGCUCACUGGGUCUUGACUGACGCUGAGGAACGAAAGCUAGGGGAGCGAACGGG
RNAcentral lists this ribosomal RNA (253 nucleotides) under uncultured bacterium. RNAcentral's name for it is "partial 16S ribosomal RNA". It matches the Rfam family "Bacterial small subunit ribosomal RNA", at positions 524 to 776 of the family's 1533-position model. The record is from RNAcentral.